Molecule: long non-coding RNA, 957 nt
Filed under: Toxoplasma gondii VEG
Lineage: Eukaryota; Apicomplexa; Conoidasida; Eucoccidiorida; Sarcocystidae
Source: RNAcentral
CUAGUGAGGAACGUAGCUCUGUACUUGAAGCACAGAAAGCGGAAUGACAUGACUGGCAUUUAGGGUGCGCGGAAAAAAGCAGAGAAGACACCUUUUGUGUCAUUGGUGUCGUCUCUCCACUGAAGAGCUGCAAGUUUCAGUGACCGUGAACCAUGCUUUCCUAAGACUUUGCGAGGUCCUCUUCCUACAACCGACAGAUUUAUCGAUUCUGCCGCUGCUGAUGCUUGUCGGGGAUGUUCUGCUCUCGCGAGUCGAAAAACAAGAGAGUCAGGGGCAUGGGAAACCAGUAGAUUAUCAGCAGUCAGGCACCACACAGAAGAUACAUACUUGUGGCUUCUUUUGUCUCUGUGUAGCUUUGUAUGUGUCGGUUUCGUUGAGGUCGAAGAGUGCCUCGGAAUCAGAUGAGGAGAAGUGGAAGAGUGUUUUGCUCUUGAGCCGAUGUAGGAAAGCCCUUGUUUGAUUCGUGGAAUGUGAGAAUAUCUCGCGAUUCUGUGUAAAUCUACUUAUUCUGCAUCUAUCCUGCAUCUAUCAGCCUCUAUAUCGAAUCGACGUCCAUGUCUACCUAGUGUAUAUCGAUAUACAUCUUCUGUAUCUCUCCUCUACGAUAUAAUGGUACUCAUGUCGCAGUCUGUUCGUUUGCGCCUCUUGAACCUCCCUCCCGUGGCCGUCAGAAAGCACUACAGAUGUUUCCAUACGAAACUGCAUUCUUUCCGGCCGCCCUAAACCCUUCGUCUUACCCGCGGGGCGCUUUUGCACUUUUGUUCAACCUGAACAGCAGCAAAUUCCCCGUGAUCAGCUACAGAGAAUUGCUACUGAGCAUGCUGGCGUGUUGUGUGCUCGCAUAAUCGCGGUGUGUACUUGCUUAUCCCACUCCUGGGUUCUCCGUGUAAAUGCUUCCGUCUACAUUCCGAUUCACAGAAGUCUCGGCACGAGACAGGUGAUUAACAACUUCCUGCG